AUUGAACGCUGGCGGCAGGCCUAACACAUGCAAGUCGAGCGAGCGGCGGACGGGUGAGUAAUGUCUGGGAAACUGCCUGAUGGAGGGGGAUAACUACUGGAAACGGUAGCUAAUACCGCAUACCAUCAGAUGUGCCCAGGUGGGAUUAGCUAGUAGGUGGGGUAAUGGCUCACCUAGGCGACGAUCCCUAGCUGGGCUGCGAGGAUGACCAGCAACACGGGAACUGAGACAGGGUCCAGACUCCUACGUGAGUCAGCAGUGGGGAAUAUUGCACAAUGGGCGCAAGCCUGAUGCAGCCAUGCCGCGUGUGUGAAGAAGGCCUGCGGGUUGUAAAGCACGUUCAGCGGGGAGGCGUUACCCGCAGAAGAAGCACCGGCUAACUCCGUGCCAGCAGCCGCGGUAAUUC
This 406-nucleotide ribosomal RNA is filed under the name uncultured bacterium. RNAcentral describes it as "partial 16S ribosomal RNA". It matches the Rfam family "Bacterial small subunit ribosomal RNA", at positions 30 to 526 of the family's 1533-position model. The record is from RNAcentral.